AAGAUUAUUCUGGGGCCUCUCUCUCUCUCUCUCUCUCUCUCUCUCUCUCUCUCUCUUAUAUAUAUAUAUAUAUGAGAGAGAGAGAGAGAGAGAGAGAGAGAGAGAGAGAGAGAGAGAGAGUAC
This 123-nucleotide microRNA precursor is filed under the name Prunus dulcis (almond). RNAcentral describes it as "sRNA ncRNA". The stretch from base 25 to 108 matches the Rfam family "mir-4716 microRNA precursor family". Lineage: Eukaryota; Viridiplantae; Streptophyta; Magnoliopsida; Rosales; Rosaceae. The record is from RNAcentral.